This is an unclassified non-coding RNA of Macaca fascicularis (crab-eating macaque), 117 nucleotides long. It matches the Rfam family "Metazoan signal recognition particle RNA". From Rfam's summary of the family: The signal recognition particle (SRP) is a universally conserved ribonucleoprotein. It is involved in the co-translational targeting of proteins to membranes. The record is from Ensembl. NCBI's taxonomy places the organism in Eukaryota, Metazoa, Chordata, Mammalia, Primates, Cercopithecidae.
GCUGGGUGUGGUGGCUCACACCUGUAAUCCCAGCACUUUGGGAGGCCGAGGUGGGUGGAUCACUUGAGGUCAGGAGUUUGAGACUAGCCUGGCCAACAUGGUGAAACCCCAUCUCUA